GUGUGGCGCGAUUCCUGUUCUGCCGCGAUCACCACCAUUGGCCAAAGUUCGGCGCGGGUGCUAGAGGAGGGGCCACGUUCCACCCUCCAGACCGUGUUUCCCAAGAUUCAUCCCAUGUCCGCACAGCAAUUNNNNNNNNCCUGCCCGGACCGUCCCGGCAUCGUGUCGGCGGUCUCCACCUUCCUGUUCGCCAACGGGCAGAACAUUCUCGACGCCCAGCAAUACAGCGACACCGAGACCG
RNAcentral lists this unclassified non-coding RNA (241 nucleotides) under Hevea brasiliensis (rubber tree). The record is from RNAcentral. Lineage: Eukaryota; Viridiplantae; Streptophyta; Magnoliopsida; Malpighiales; Euphorbiaceae.